Small nuclear RNA from Tursiops truncatus (common bottlenose dolphin), 107 nucleotides. The record is from Ensembl. Lineage: Eukaryota; Metazoa; Chordata; Mammalia; Artiodactyla; Delphinidae.
GUGCUCGCUUCAGCAGCACAUACAGUAAAAUUGGAAUGACGUGGAGAAGAUUAACAUGGCCCCUGAACAAGGAUAACUCGCAAAUUCAUGAAACGUUCCAUAGUUUU